GUAUUUAUUAUUGAAAAAUAUCUAAAUAUCAGGAUGAUUCUGCAGGGCCAUUGUGGUCCAGAGCUCCUGUAGAACUGACUGAGCCCUCUGUUGAGACUGCAUUGACGUUCAACUUCUCCCUUCAGACAACCCAACUUCCUUUAGUCUGUCUCAAGUCCUGAUCUUAAGGAGACCCCCAUUAAACUUCCUGCACAUGGAUUUUCAUGUCUCCAGAGUCUGCUUACUGAAGAAUGCAACCUAAAACAGAAAGAACAGCCCUACCACAGCAUUGGACACAAUACAGGAGACCGUGGGGCACGGAGGCCCAGGACUGGUUCAAUCAAUGGAAGCUCUAGUCUAAGCCCUCGCAGAUGUGCUGCUUAUUAAUUAUGUUGAUACACUAGGUCUAGAUUUGUGUUGAAGUUUCCUCUUAAAGAAGCCACAUGGAUUCCAAGUUACUCAGUUUCCUGGAGUGAGAUUGCAUGGCAGCCUGGGAUUUGCAAAUCUUCACCUGACAAUGAUGUUUAUGUAACAUUCCUGACCCCUGUGUCUGAGCAGCUUCCAAAGCCCAGAGACUCACUCUUAGUUCAGUCCCAGCACCGGUGCUGCCUGCCCUGCUAACAGCCUCCCUGAGCCUAGCCUUCUCUUUCUAUGAUCUGAUUUAAUUGUUAUGGCACUUUAUUAUUAUAAACCACCAUUUUAGAAAGUGUUGGGCUCAGUGGACAUGAGUUUGAGCAAGCUCUGGGAGUUGGUGAUGGACAGAGACCCCUAGUCCAUGGGGUCACAAGGUCGGACAUGACUGAGCGCCUGAACUGAACUGGACUAAGUGUAAUUUGAUCUCCAAGAUUCUGAACUCUUAGAAAAACCUCCGAUGCUGAAUUUCUCCUAAAACUUGUGUGUGUGCCCAGUCACUCAGUUGCGUCUGGUUCUCUGUGACCCCAUGGACUGAAACCCUCCAGGCUCCUCUGUCCAUGGAAUUCCCCAGGCAAGAAUACUGGAGUGGGUUGCCAUUUCCCUCUCCAUUUCUUUAACUUAACUUGCAUUAAAUAGGAUCUUCAUUUUGAUGGCCUUAAAUUCUCAGUGUCUCCCCCAAAACCUCCAUCCAUCACUGACUUUUUCCAUUUAUAGCAUUUUCAGCUCAGCCUCUAUCUUCAGCUCUCAUACUGUGAGUUGACCCUAAAUACUAGCUCCCCGGUAUCUAGUACUUAAGUAUGUACCAGGCAUCACAUGCUUUUCAGCAGGAGUUUGCAAAGGGUGGUUCUGCAGACCAGGAGCAACAGCAUCACUGCUAAACUUGUUACUAGGAAUACAAAUUCCCCAAACCCACCGAAGAUCUAACAAGUCAACAGCUCUGGGGGUGGGGAUCAGUAACCUAUGUUUUGAAAAAUACUCAGGUGAUUUGAGGGUACUUGCUUUAGUCUGAAAACCACUGCUUUACCCGCAGUAGCUUAUUUUAUUACAAAAGCCCAAUGCUAAAGGGCGUUGUUUAGUUGCUAAGUCAUAUCUGCCUCUUUGCCAUCCCAUUGACUGUAGCCCACCAGGCUCCUCUGUCCAUGGGAUUCGCCAGGCAAGAAUAUUGGAGUGGGUCACCAUUUCCUUCUCCAGGGAGUCUUCUUGACUCAGGGAUUGAACUCAUGUUUCCUGCAUUGGCAGGUGGAUUACUUCCCACCUGGGAAGCCCAAGACGAGGGUUACAUAGCCUUAUUCUACUUUACCAUGAAAAAAAAAAUAAAGGUCAACAGAGAUAACUGUACACAGCCUCACACAGUGCAGGUGGCAUGCGGCAAAUGAAACCCAGGGCUGAAAGCUUUGCAAGUCCCUCCUCUCCAGUUCCACUCCACGAAACCCCCACUUGGCUGACCUCCCAUCAGUUCUACUCUGCUGGUGACUAACUCGGGUAAACCAUGCUGCAUGCUUUCUUUGGGUACUAAGGUCUUUGAAUACUGCUGGGAGAGCAACCAAUAAAAAUGCCAAGUGUAUUUCAUUAUAAUAAAUGUAUAUUUUUACCCC
Molecule: long non-coding RNA, 1988 nt
Organism: Bos taurus (domestic cattle)
Lineage: Eukaryota; Metazoa; Chordata; Mammalia; Artiodactyla; Bovidae
Source: Ensembl